This is a long non-coding RNA of Bolinopsis microptera, 710 nucleotides long. RefSeq lists it as uncharacterized. The transcript is spliced from 6 exons. Lineage: Eukaryota; Metazoa; Ctenophora; Tentaculata; Lobata; Bolinopsidae. The record is from RefSeq and is a predicted model, not a curated record.
GUAUGUCAUGGCAGUCCCAUACACUUUUAAAGUACGUUUUAUGGACGACAGGAAUCCGUUCACUGUGGCAUACGCAGAGCCAACAGUGCCUCCAACAUUCGUGUUCUUGGAAGAUGAGACUCUCUUAGAACCAGAUACCUCGACUGAUCAAAGUUCUAAAUGCUCCACACCAGGUAGACGAAGCUGCACUACAAGUCUCUAUAGAUAACUCCUACCUGGACCUGGAUUCCACAAUAGUAAAUCUGUGCGAGGGUGGAAGUUUAGAUCCCACAAAUCGCAAGACAAUCCUAAUUCUCAGGACCAGUCUGUCUGUCAGAGUCCACAACUGCUGUGAAACGCUACAAAAAUCCAGUGGUAGGGACUUGAGAAAAGCUUUGUUCUCGUUGAAGCGUAUAUUCAAGGACGACCAAGAUCUGGUGCACUGUUUUGUUGACAAGGGAGGUCUGGAUACCCUAGUCAGUGUGGGGGAGGAUGCUGAUCACAACUACAUUAUCUACAUUAUCAGGGCGCUGGGAGAGGUUAUGGUGUAUGUGGAUGGAAUGCAGGGAAUCAUAAAACACCACCGCACUAUACAGUGGCUCUACGUUCUUAUCACUAAAUACGGAAACAAGUCGAUAAUGCUAGUAAAGGGAUGUCUGGAGCUCCUGCUAGUGUUCAUCAACUACAAAGAAGAUACCAAUUCGCACUUGGUAGUCAAAUGUGUGCACUCA